CUAUCAGCUCUGGAGACUAAAGUCUUCUAUUUAUCCACAAAACGGGGUACAGCAUGGGCAGUAGGACUGCAAAGUCUUCUUCACUGCCCUGCCAAUAUAGUAAUUCUGGCAUGGUGAGGCCAUUAGAAACAUGAUGGGUUAGUGUUUAUGUCCAUAUAAUUCUUGGCCUCU
This 171-nucleotide small RNA is filed under the name Gopherus agassizii (Agassiz's desert tortoise). Its description in RNAcentral is "TUC338 (ENSGAGG00000005835.1)". The record is from RNAcentral. Lineage: Eukaryota; Metazoa; Chordata; Testudines; Testudinidae.